AUGAACGCUGGCGGCGUGCCUAAUCCAUGCAAGUCGAGCGCACGGACGAGAAGCUUGCUUCUCUGAUGUUAGCGGCGGACGGGUGAGUAACACGUGGAUAACCUACCUAUAAGACUGGGAUAACUUCGGGAAGCCGGAGCUAAUACCGGAUAAUAUUUUGAACCGCAUGGUUCAAAAGUGAAAGACGGUCUUGCUGUCACUUAUAGAUGGAUCCGCGCUGCAUUAGCUAGUUGGUAAGGUAACGGCUUACCAAGGCAACGAUGCAUAGCCGACCUGAGAGGGUGAUCGGCCACACUGGAACUGAGACACGGUCCAGACUCCUACGGGAGGCAGCAGUAGGGAAUCUUCCGCAAUGGGCGAAAGCCUGACGGAGCAACGCCGCGUGAGUGAUGAAGGUCUUCGGAUCGUAAAACUCUGUUAUUAGGGAAGAACAUAUGUGUAAGUAACUGUGCACAUCUUGACGGUACCUAAUCAGAAAGCCACGGCUAACUACGUG
RNAcentral lists this ribosomal RNA (496 nucleotides) under uncultured bacterium. RNAcentral's name for it is "partial 16S ribosomal RNA". It matches the Rfam family "Bacterial small subunit ribosomal RNA", at positions 29 to 507 of the family's 1533-position model. The record is from RNAcentral.